AUGUGUGUCCCUAAGAAUCAAGGAGGGAUGGUUUUUCGUGAUAUUCAUUGUUUGAACUUGGUAAUGCUCGCCAAACAGGCGUGGCGCCUUCUUGAGAAUCCUGAUUCCUUAUGUGCUACAAUUAUGAGAGCUAAGUACUAUUCUGAUGGCGAUUUGUUGAACACUAAGUUAAAGAAGGGAUCUUCUUUUAACUGGCAAAGUAUUAUGGCAGGCGUGUACUCUCUAAAACAUGGUUAUAUUUGGCGGGUGGAGAAUGCCGGAAUAUCAGUUUUUGGGAAGACCCUUGGAUUCUAA
Molecule: ribosomal RNA, 294 nt
Filed under: Triticum aestivum (bread wheat)
Lineage: Eukaryota; Viridiplantae; Streptophyta; Magnoliopsida; Poales; Poaceae
Description: partial small subunit ribosomal RNA
Source: RNAcentral